GGGAAUAUGGAUAUUACAACCUUACUCAUGACUGAUCCGCCUCGACAGCAGCCGGCUUCUUCACAAACAGGACCAGCAACUACAUCGGACUCCACUAGUGGUACAACCACAGGUCCUGCCCUUGCUCAAGAACCUUAAGUAGAAGUUCCAGAUGAUGAACUGGUAGAAUUAAAUUUUGAACUUCCAAACACUCAGCAAUAAACCAAGCCUAGUUCUGGUCCGUGGUACACUUUAAAUGGCAUUCCUCUAUCUAAAUGGAGAGAUCGUCUCGCUGAGUUUAAA
Molecule: unclassified non-coding RNA, 282 nt
Filed under: Hevea brasiliensis (rubber tree)
Lineage: Eukaryota; Viridiplantae; Streptophyta; Magnoliopsida; Malpighiales; Euphorbiaceae
Source: RNAcentral